GACGAACGCUGGCGGCGUGCUUAACACAUGCAAGUCGAACGGAAAGGCCCUGCUUGGGUUGGGUGCUCGAGUGGCGAACGUGUGAGUAACACGUGAGUAACCUGCCCUGGACGUUGGGAUAACUUCAGGAAACUGGUGCUAAUACCGGAUAGGAGCUCCUGCUGCAUGGGGGUGUUUGGAACGUUUCGGCGGUUGGGGAUGGACUCGCGGCUUAUCAGCUUGUUGGUGGGGUAGCGGCUUACCAAGGCUUUGACGGGUAGCCGGCCUGAGAGGGUGACCGGCCACAUUGGGACUGAGAUACGGCCCAGACUCCUACGGGAGGCAGCAGUGGGGAAUAUUGCACAAUGGGCGGAAGCCUGAUGCAGCAACGCCGCGUGCGGGAUGACGGCCUUCGGGUUGUAAACCGCUUUCGCCUGUGACGAAGCGUGAGUGACGGUAAUGGGUAAAGAAGCACCGGCUAACUACGUG
This 468-nucleotide ribosomal RNA is filed under the name uncultured bacterium. Its description in RNAcentral is "partial 16S ribosomal RNA". It matches the Rfam family "Bacterial small subunit ribosomal RNA", at positions 28 to 507 of the family's 1533-position model. The record is from RNAcentral.